RNAcentral lists this ribosomal RNA (486 nucleotides) under uncultured bacterium. Its description in RNAcentral is "bacterial SSU rRNA". It matches the Rfam family "Bacterial small subunit ribosomal RNA", at positions 470 to 957 of the family's 1533-position model. The record is from RNAcentral.
GGGCUAUACCCGAGUCAUGACGUACCGUAGAAUACCGGUAUACGUGCCACAGCGCGGUAUACUAGGUGCAAGCGUUAUCGGAAUUACUGGCGUAAAGCGUGCGCAGCGGUAUAUAAACAAUGUGAAAUCCCCGGGCUCAACUGGGAACUGCAUUUGUGACUGUAUAGCUAGAGUGCGGCAGAGGGGGAUGGAAUUCCGCGUGUAGCAGUGAAAUGCGUAGAUAUGCGGAGGAACACCGAUGGCGAAGGCAAUCCCCUGGGCCUGCACUGACGCUCAUGCACGAAAGCGUGGGGAGCAAACAGGAUUAGAUACCCUGGUAGUCCGCGCCCGUAAACGGUGGGCGCUAGUUGUGGGGACCUUCCACGGUUUCUGCGACGCAGCUAACGCAUUAAGCGUCCCGACUGGGGAGUACGAUCGCAAGAUUAAGACUCAAAGGAAUUGACGGGGACCCGUACAAGCAGCGGAGCAUGCGGGUUAAUUCGACGC